GGGGAUUUAGCUCAGUGGCAUAAGUGCCUGCUUGACAAGCACGAGGUCAUGAGUUCAAUCCCCA
Molecule: transfer RNA, 64 nt
Filed under: Cavia porcellus (domestic guinea pig)
Lineage: Eukaryota; Metazoa; Chordata; Mammalia; Rodentia; Caviidae
Rfam family: tRNA
About the family: Transfer RNA (tRNA) molecules are approximately 80 nucleotides in length.
Source: Rfam by way of RNAcentral